CCUACGGGAGGCAGCAGUGGGGAAUUUUGGACAAUGGGCGCAAGCCUGAUCCAGCAAUGCCGCGUGAGUGAAGAAGGCCUCCGGGUUGUAAAGCUCUUUUGUCAGGGAAGAAACGGCCGAGGCUAAUACCUUUGGCUAAUGACGGUACCUGAAGAAUAAGCACCGGCUAACUACGUGCCAGCAGCCGCGGUAAUACGUAGGGUGCAAGCGUUAAUCGGAAUUACUGGGCGUAAAGCGUGCGCAGGCGGUUUUGUAAGUCUGACGUGAAAUCCCCGGGCUCAACCUGGGAAUUGCGUUGGAGACUGCAAGGCUGGAGUCUGGCAGAGGGGGGUAGAAUUCCACGUGUAGCAGUGAAAUGCGUAGAGAUGUGGAGGAACACCGAUGGCGAAGGCAGCCCCCUGGGUCAAGACUGACGCUCAUGCACGAAAGCGUGGGGAGCAAACAGGAUUAGAUACCCUGGUAGUCCACGCCCUAAACGAUGUCUACUAGUUGUCGGGUUCUUAAUUGACUUGGUAACGCAGCUAACGCGUGAAGUAGACCGCCUGGGGAGUCGGUCGCAAGAUUAAAACUCAAAGGAAUUGACGGCGNGAGACGUAGCCGAGGACGACGACGAGGGAGGAGG
RNAcentral lists this ribosomal RNA (622 nucleotides) under uncultured bacterium. RNAcentral describes it as "bacterial SSU rRNA". It matches the Rfam family "Bacterial small subunit ribosomal RNA", at positions 338 to 954 of the family's 1533-position model. The record is from RNAcentral.